ACUACCAGUGCACCAUGGCCGGGGUACAAAUAUGCCACCCUUCACCAAUGGAUGCAUCAGCAGCAGCCACAGCAAAAUUUGGUUUGGGAUAGGUAGGUGUUAUGUUAGGUCUGGUUUUUUGGCUGUAGCAGCAGCAGUGGAAGGGGCAUGCAGAGGAGCAGGAGAUUCAGUUUGAAGCUGGACUUCACUUUUGCCUCUCUCUCCUGUGCUUGCCUCUUCCAUUCCUGCUGCUAGGCUGUUCUGUGGAAGUUUGCAGAGUUUAUAUUAUGGGUUUAAUCGUCCAUGGCAUCAGCAUCAGCAGCGGUAUGUCAUGACAAUGCGGCCGUGCGAGCUCCAUGAGCUCGAAUGCCAUUGCAGUGGAUUCAGGACAACGAAAUGGACACUGUUUUUCGUUGGAAAUUUGGGCGUAUGCCGUUGUAAAAUUCAUGUUUCAGAGAAAUGCCGCUACAAAAUGUAUCUAUGAGCUUGAAGUUAUCUCAAAGCUAUCAGUAACACAUUAUUUGGUCAA
This is a long non-coding RNA of Oryza sativa Japonica Group (Japanese rice), 508 nucleotides long. RefSeq lists it as uncharacterized. Lineage: Eukaryota; Viridiplantae; Streptophyta; Magnoliopsida; Poales; Poaceae. The record is from RefSeq and is a predicted model, not a curated record.